Molecule: ribosomal RNA, 460 nt
Filed under: uncultured bacterium
Lineage: Bacteria
Description: partial 16S ribosomal RNA
Rfam family: Bacterial small subunit ribosomal RNA
Source: RNAcentral
CCUACGGGAGGCAGCAGUGAGGAAUAUUGGUCAAUGGACGAGAGUCUGAACCAGCCAAGUAGCGUGAAGGAUGACUGCCCUAUGGGUUGUAAACUUCUUUUAUAUGGGAAUAAAACGUUCCACGUGUGGGAUUUUGUAUGUACCAUAUGAAUAAGGAUCGGCUAACUCCGUGCCAGCAGCCGCGGUAAUACGGAGGAUCCGAGCGUUAUCCGGAUUUAUUGGGUUUAAAGGGAGCGUAGGUGGAUUGUUAAGUCAGUUGUGAAAGUUUGCGGCUCAACCGUAAAAUUGCGGUUGAAACUGGCAGUCUUGAGUACAGUAGAGGUGGGCGGAAUUCGUGGUGUAGCGGUGAAAUGCUUAGAUAUCACGAAGAACUCCGAUUGCGAAGGCAGUUCACUGGACUGCAACUGACACUGAGGCUCGAAAGUGUGGGUAUCAAACAGGAUUAGAUACCCCAGUAGUC